AUUGAACGCUGGCGGCAGGCCUAACACAUGCAAGUCGAGCGAGCGGCGGACGGGUGAGUAAUGUGUGGGAAACUGCCUGAUGGGGGGGGGUCACUACUGGAAAAGGUAGCUAAUAACGCAUACCAUCAGAUGUGCCCAGAUGGGAUUAGCUAGUGGGUGGGGUAAUGGCUCAACUAGGCGACGAUCCCUAGCUGGUCUGAGAGGAUGACCAGCCACACUGGAACUGAGACACGGUCCAGACUCCUACGGGAGGCAGCAGUGGGGAAUAUUCCACAAUGGGCGAAAGCCGGAUGCAGCCCUGCCGCGUGUAUGAAGAAGGCCUUCGGGUUGUAAAGUCCUUUCAGCGGGGAGGCGUUACCCACAGAAGAAGCACCGGCUAACUCCGUGCCAGCAGCCGCGGUAAUUC
Molecule: ribosomal RNA, 406 nt
Filed under: uncultured bacterium
Lineage: Bacteria
Description: partial 16S ribosomal RNA
Rfam family: Bacterial small subunit ribosomal RNA
Source: RNAcentral